UGUAAAUCUAAGGCUGGAUCAGUGCAGCAGGUAACUGAAACAAUCCGGCAAAUGGUCAUAAAAGCAUCAAAUUCGGCAGAAAUACUCCUUAGGCAAAGCCUCUUUUGAAAAAAAGAAAAAAAAAGAAAAAAAAAAAACGAUUGGCCACUUGACUUU
This is a long non-coding RNA of Thalassophryne amazonica, 156 nucleotides long. RefSeq lists it as uncharacterized. The transcript is spliced from 3 exons. The record is from RefSeq and is a predicted model, not a curated record. Lineage: Eukaryota; Metazoa; Chordata; Actinopteri; Batrachoidiformes; Batrachoididae.